This 429-nucleotide ribosomal RNA is filed under the name Bacteroidota bacterium. Its description in RNAcentral is "Bacteroidetes bacterium partial 16S ribosomal RNA". It matches the Rfam family "Bacterial small subunit ribosomal RNA", at positions 355 to 776 of the family's 1533-position model. Lineage: Bacteria; Pseudomonadati; Bacteroidota. The record is from RNAcentral.
UAGGGAAUCUUCCGCAAUGGACGCAAGUCUGACGGAGCAACGCCGCGUGAGUGAAGAAGGAUUUCGGUUCGUAAAACUCUGUUGUUAGAGAAGAACAGCGCAUAGAGUAACUGUUAUGCGUGUGACGGUAUCUAACCAGAAAGCCACGGCUAACUACGUGCCAGCAGCCGCGGUAAUACGUAGGUGGCAAGCGUUGUCCGGAUUUAUUGGGCGUAAAGCGAGCGCAGGCGGUCAAUUAAGUCUGAUGUGAAAGCCCCCGGCUCAACCGGGGAGGGUCAUUGGAAACUGGUUGAAUGGAGUGCAGAAGAGGAGAGUGGAAUUCCAUGUGUAGCGGUGAAAUGCGUAGAUAUAGGGAGGAACACCAGUGGCGAAGGCGACUCUCUGGUCUGUAACUGACGCUGAGGCUCGAAAGCGUGGGUAGCAAACAGG